Molecule: ribosomal RNA, 983 nt
Filed under: Lomographa bimaculata (white-pinioned spotted)
Lineage: Eukaryota; Metazoa; Arthropoda; Insecta; Lepidoptera; Geometridae
Description: partial 16S rRNA
Source: RNAcentral
AAAGAGUUAAAUAAUUAUAAAAGUUAUUGUAGCAAAACUAUUUUUAAUAAUUAUUUUGAAAUGAAAUGUUAUUCGUUUUUAAUGAUAUUUAGUUUUUUUAGAAAAAAAUUUAAUUUUAAAUUUUAAAUUUUAAAAAUUUUAAUUAUUUAAUUUUUUUAAUUUAUAAAUUUUAUAUUUUAAGGGAUAAGCUUUAAUUUAAAUUUUUAUAAUGUUAAAAAUAAUCUUUUUGAAAAUUUUAUAAUUUAUAUUGUUAAUAAAUUUUAAUUUAUUAUAAAUAAUUUCAUAAAAAAUAAAAUUUAAUUUUUAUUAUUUAAUUUUUUAUAAAAAAAUUAUUUUUAAUUUUUUAAAUUAAAAUAUAAUGAUAAAAUUAGUAUAUUAAUUUAAUAAUAAUUUAAUUAAUAAUUAUUAAUUUAAUUAAUUAAAAUUAAUUCGGCAAAUAUUUAUAUUCACUUGUUUAACAAAAACAUGUCUUUUUGAUUUUAAUUUAAAGUCUAAUCUGCCCACUGAUUUAAUUAUUAAAGGGCUGCAGUAUUUUGACUGUACAAAGGUAGCAUAAUCAUUAGUCUCUUAAUUGGUGACUUGUAUGAAAGAUUGGAUGAGAUAUAUACUGUCUCUUAAUUAAUUUAUAGAAUUUAAUUUUUUAUUUAAAAAGUUAAAAUAAAUUAAAAAGACGAGAAGACCCUUUAGAGUUUUAUAAAUAUGUUUAUUAAAUAAUUAUUUGUUUAAUUAAAAUAAAUUUAUUUUUAUUUAUUUAAUAUUUUUAUAAAUUUAUUUAUUUUGUUGGGGUGAUAAAAAAAUUAAUUAAACUUUUUUUUAUAUUUUACAUAAAUAAGUGAAUAAAUGAUCCAUUUUUAAUGAUUAUAAGAUUAAAUUACCUUAGGGAUAACAGCGUAAUUUUUUUUUUUAGUUCAAAUAAAAAAAAAAGUUUGCGACCUCGAUGUUGGAUUAAGAUAAAAUUUAAAUGCAAAAGUUUAAAAUUUUUG